UCUGACACUUCAGUGCUGUCCUGAUGUCUGCAAUUAUCAUUUUAGCAACUGAUGCCAACUAUUGUCAGUGGAAAGUGAAGAGAUAGACAACAGAAUGUUCUGUUAUAGUCACUCAUGAACACAGACAUGAUGCUGCUCGUCAUCUCAAUCUUUACACUGUUUCUACAGGUUCAUCCACAGCGUAAGUAAAACAGAUUCUUUCAUUUCUGUUCAAUGUCUUGUGAAGUAGCUUUAAGUUUACAUGCAUUUUGAAAAUCCCUGUAAAAAUCAAUUAAAUUAAAAUGAAUGUUAACUCAUAACAGUAGAAUCUGUAACAACUUCAACAAUGAGUUUUAGAGAAAUUCUGCUCUUUGGUUAAGGAAACAUUUUUAAUUUUGUCUUACUAAAUUCUACCUUUUAAUACUUUUCACAAUUUUUUACUGUAUAAGAACUACUGAUUGGUUAACAGUAUCUCAAGCAUCAGUGUAUAAUACAGUUCAGCUCAAAACUGACAGGUCAACAGACUUACAGGAAAAUUCACAAGAAGCAUCAUCCAAACCAUCUCUCUUUACCACAGUACCAGCUUACAGUAAGUGCUGGGGCGAAAAAUCGGCUGCAAUUCUCAUGCGUAUCUCAUCAGUAAAGCUGGUUUCCUCGAUUAGUAGUAAAUCGUAGUAAAGUAGUAAAUUGCCAUCACCUUCUUUCAGAUUGAGCGGCAUUUACUACACAAAGUCGUAUUUCACAGACAAGAUGGGCAAUAUACCAUUCAUAAAUGUGGACGAAUCACCUCCGAUAAU
Misgurnus anguillicaudatus (oriental weatherfish) is the source of this 776-nucleotide non-coding RNA. NCBI's taxonomy places the organism in Eukaryota, Metazoa, Chordata, Actinopteri, Cypriniformes, Cobitidae. The record is from RefSeq and is a predicted model, not a curated record.